RNAcentral lists this unclassified non-coding RNA (263 nucleotides) under Hevea brasiliensis (rubber tree). Lineage: Eukaryota; Viridiplantae; Streptophyta; Magnoliopsida; Malpighiales; Euphorbiaceae. The record is from RNAcentral.
CCGGUACAUAAAAAGUUAACGAUCCCAACAAUCCAAAGCUAACAAACACCAGAUUUCAGAUUUCAUCUUCACCGUCACUGUUCAACUUGGCGCUGCGGACCUAUAGGACAAGUUCCGCCUCUUCCCUUGGCUCGUCGCCGUUGAUCGGCUUAUUCUCAAAUCAGUCACUCAUCCAGAUUAUAAUGAUGUUCAUGACGAUUUUUUAAUCAGUUUUGAAGAGAAUGGUGCUGGUUUUAGCAAUAGGAGACCUUCACAUACCUCAC